Molecule: ribosomal RNA, 465 nt
Filed under: Vreelandella stevensii
Lineage: Bacteria; Pseudomonadati; Pseudomonadota; Gammaproteobacteria; Oceanospirillales; Halomonadaceae
Description: partial 16S ribosomal RNA
Rfam family: Bacterial small subunit ribosomal RNA
Source: RNAcentral
CCUACGGGGGGCUGCAGUGGGGAAUAUUGGACAAUGGGCGAAAGCCUGAUCCAGCCAUGCCGCGUGUGUGAAGAAGGCCUUCGGGUUGUAAAGCACUUUCAGUGGGGAAGAAAGCCUUGGGGCUAAUACCCUCGAGGAAGGACAUCACCCACAGAAGAAGCACCGGCUAACUCCGUGCCAGCAGCCGCGGUAAUACGGAGGGUGCGAGCGUUAAUCGGAAUCACUGGGCGUAAAGCGCGCGUAGGCGGUCUGAUAAGCCGGUUGUGAAAGCCCCGGGCUCAACCUGGGAACGGCAUCCGGAACUGUCAGGCUAGAGUGCAGGAGAGGAAGGUAGAAUUCCCGGUGUAGCAGUGAAAUGCGUAGAGAUCGGGAGGAAUACCAGUGGCGAAGGCGGCCUUCUGGACUGACACUGACGCUGAGGUGCGAAAGCGUGGGUAGCAAACAGGAUUAGAUACCCCAGUAGUC